CCUACGGGAGGCAGCAGUGAGGAAUAUUGGUCAAUGGACGCAAGUCUGAACCAGCCAUGCCGCGUGCAGGAAGACGGCUCUAUGAGUUGUAAACUGCUUUUGUACGAGGGUAAACGCAGAUACGCGUAUCUGUCUGAAAGUAUCGUACGAAUAAGGAUCGGCUAACUCCGUGCCAGCAGCCGCGGUAAUACGGAGGAUUCAAGCGUUAUCCGGAUUUAUUGGGUUUAAAGGGUGCGUAGGCGGUCGGAUAAGUUAGAGGUGAAAUCCCGAGGCUCAACUUCGGAGUUGCCUCUGAUACUGUUAGGCUAGAGAGUAGUUGCGGUAGGCGGAAUGUAUGGUGUAGCGGUGAAAUGCUUAGAGAUCAUACAGAACACCGAUUGCGAAGGCAGCUUACCAAGCUACGUCUGACGUUGAGGCACGAAAGCGUGGGGAGCAAACAGGAUUAGAUACCCCAGUAGUC
Molecule: ribosomal RNA, 460 nt
Filed under: uncultured bacterium
Lineage: Bacteria
Description: partial 16S ribosomal RNA
Rfam family: Bacterial small subunit ribosomal RNA
Source: RNAcentral